This 393-nucleotide ribosomal RNA is filed under the name uncultured bacterium. RNAcentral describes it as "bacterial SSU rRNA". It matches the Rfam family "Bacterial small subunit ribosomal RNA", at positions 28 to 417 of the family's 1533-position model. The record is from RNAcentral.
GACGAACGCUGGCGGCGUGCUUAACACAUGCAAGUCGUACGGGACCGGGGGCAACUCCGGUUCAGUGGCGAACGGGUGCGUAACACGUGAGAAACUUUUCCAACGGCGGGGGAUAGCCGGCCUAACGGCCGGGUAAUACCGCGUACGCUCUUCCGGGGGCAUCCCUGGGGGAGGAAAGCAGCCGCAAGGUUGCGCCGGUGGAGAGUCUCGCGGCCUAUCAGCUAGUUGGCGGGGUAAUGGCCCACCAAGGCGACGACGGGAGCUGGUCUGAGAGGAUGGCCAGCCACAUUGGGACUGAGACACGGCCCAGACUCCUACGGGAGGCAGCAGUGGGGAAUAUUGCGCAAUGGCCGCAAGGCUGACGCAGCGACGCCGCGUGUGGGAUGACGGCCU